CCUAGCGGACACUAGACAAACUUUUUAAAGUCACAAACGAAACACGCAGAAGAACUGAAAAACAAAAAUCAUUCGCUUGAGGUGGAGAAUGCGAAGGUGAUAACGAGGCUCCAAUACCUUGAGGCUGAGCGUGAGAAGGCUGAAAAGAAGGCAAACAAAUCUGA
Long non-coding RNA from Lethenteron reissneri (Far Eastern brook lamprey), 164 nucleotides. RefSeq lists it as uncharacterized. NCBI's taxonomy places the organism in Eukaryota, Metazoa, Chordata, Hyperoartia, Petromyzontiformes, Petromyzontidae. The record is from RefSeq and is a predicted model, not a curated record.